This 575-nucleotide long non-coding RNA is filed under the name Pongo abelii (Sumatran orangutan). RNAcentral's name for it is "lincRNA". Lineage: Eukaryota; Metazoa; Chordata; Mammalia; Primates; Hominidae. The record is from RNAcentral.
AAGAAUUAAACAUCAAAUCUUCCCUCAGGGACUCCAGGUAAGAGCCCAGGCCAAAGGACACCUUGAUUUUGACCUUGUCAGACCUGGAAUUGAAAAACCAGCUGCACCCUUCUAGAAUUCUUACUUACAAAACUGAAGAUGUUACAGGACAAAAUGAUUUCACUGGGAGCUGAGUUUUGCCAGAUUUGGGGAAAUACUGAUGCAGAACAUCAUUUAUUGAAGGCUGAUACUUAUGGGUAGAAGAGUCAAAGUGCGAAUAUAUCCACACUUCUCUAUGGAUUCUGCAGAAAGAUAUGCUUGGGUCGUGACUCAGGUGAAUUUACUAUGAAACUUUGUCUUUGGCAAAGCAUCCCAUUCUUGGCUCUUCCAUAUAUAUAUAUGGUAAGUUUGGGAGUGGCCUUGCUAGUAAGGAAUAAAUUAUUUACUUGGUUCUAGCUAUUUACAAAGUUGCUGGUGACUAAUUGCUGGAAAGAAGCUGUGAUGUUAUGUGGCCCCUCCAUUUUAUGUCCCCUCCCUUUAGUUCUGUAGGAAAUUGAGUUCAGGAAAGCUACUAGGAAUAAAAAUCUUAGUUUUUA